GGAACCAGAAUGUAUCAGACGAUGUGGAGU
RNAcentral lists this non-coding RNA (30 nucleotides) under Homo sapiens (human). Lineage: Eukaryota; Metazoa; Chordata; Mammalia; Primates; Hominidae. The record is from RNAcentral.